AGCAGACCACCUGGAGCUCUCUUUGAACCUGGUCUUUGGUUGGCUGGCUGGUUGUUUUUUUUGCGGGGGGAGGUUCGUGUGCGCGUGCUUGUGCGUGUGCGUGUGCGCUUGCGUGUUUAAACUUUCUAUGUCUCCAGCAGACCCCUGUGCUGGAGAGAAUUACUGUACAGUCUGUUUUCCCAAAUAGCCUCCCAUUAAUCAAAAACAUUCCCCAGCCAGGCUGCAGCCUCCCACGUGUUACCUGCUGGCUCAACAAGCCUGAGUCCUGACCACAAAGGAGGAAGAGCUAGCAUGUUAAACCACACAGCUGGAGAAAACAAGGCCUGCCCCAUGACAAGAGGAGGAGCUGAAGAUUAUUUCCACUUUCCGGAAGAAGGAACUGGCCUCACCCAAAAACUACCGAAGCUGGAAAGGGCGGGCCAGAGGUGGCCUGGCAUCUGCUGCCCUCAGUCAUGAGCUCGCCUCCUGCACUAAGCUCAUCAGAGUUGUUUUCCACAUUCCUUCCACCCAUUUAUUCCCAGC
This 522-nucleotide long non-coding RNA is filed under the name Fukomys damarensis (Damara mole-rat). Its description in RNAcentral is "lncRNA (ENSFDAG00000030804.1)". Lineage: Eukaryota; Metazoa; Chordata; Mammalia; Rodentia; Bathyergidae. The record is from RNAcentral.